GCUUCUCUCUCUCUCUCUCUCUCGGCUCUCUCGUCUUCACGCCGCCGGUGCUCUCUAAUCCCAUUAGUUGAGCCGCUUAAACACACCUCGACCACGCUACCCUGUCCUUCCCUAUGUAUCUCUCUCGGUCGCUGGCUAGAAGAAAGAACCCUGGGAGUGUCGAUUGUGCCGCCAUUGAUAUGUCUGAGCUUGGCAGUUAUUGGUUUGAUUUUGUUUGGAAAUUUUGGCUCUCUUUCCUUCUUUGUGACUCUCUCUCCGUCAAUCGGAUGUUAGCAUGGAGGUGGGACUGUGGGGAUGGUGUUGUAACGGUAGGGACUUCAAUGGGACUAGGGUACCGUCGCCGUGAAGAAAAUGGUUUAUUUUGUUUACAUCCCCACUUAUCUAAAAUGGUAAUGAUGAAUUUUUAUUCUUAGGCAUCAUCUUUGAUUAAUUUUUAAAAUAAUUAUUAUAUAUUGUUUCUGUUUUAGGGAUUUAUGCAAUUUUUAAUAUGAAUUAUUGAUGAUGUUUCUAUUAACUAUAGGUUUGGUUUGUUUAAGGAUUUUGGAUUACUAAAUUUGGUGACUUUGAGGUUUGUGGAUAUGCCGCUAGCUUUGGGUAUUCUAUUUUUUAUAUUGGUUUUAGAUUUAGAGUUUCUGUUUUUUAGAGUUUUCUCAGUAUGUUGUUGAAGGCAACUUUUCUUGAUUUGCCUUUAUGGCAUCACAUUCUUGUUCUUAAAGUCCUGAGGGUAAUUCUGGAAGUGGAAACAUACUCUUUAUUUAUGUAGUAUGUGCGACAUAGAAGAUUAUGGUAGAGCCUUGUAAAGCUGUUUGAAUAAUUACAAAGGUGGAACUUUGACAGGGUUUUUGUUUGGAGGCACGAACUUUGCGGAUUCUCUUCUAGAACUUUGAUAUGCAUCCCAAGAACACCAAUAUUGUUGAGGGCCUGGUUAAGGCUCUGGCUAGAGUUGUUUCAAGUAUACAUGGUCAAGAGACUAGUGAGGAGAGCCUGGCAGUUGUUGCAGGGAUGUUCAGCAGCAAA
Humulus lupulus (European hop) is the source of this 1017-nucleotide long non-coding RNA. RefSeq lists it as uncharacterized. The record is from RefSeq and is a predicted model, not a curated record. The transcript has 5 exons. Lineage: Eukaryota; Viridiplantae; Streptophyta; Magnoliopsida; Rosales; Cannabaceae.